Molecule: ribosomal RNA, 478 nt
Filed under: Austinixa cf. bragantina
Lineage: Eukaryota; Metazoa; Arthropoda; Malacostraca; Decapoda; Pinnotheridae
Description: partial large subunit ribosomal RNA
Rfam family: Bacterial large subunit ribosomal RNA
Source: RNAcentral
UUUUAAGGGCCGCGGUAAUUUGACCGUGCAAAGGUAGCAUAAUAGUUAGUUUUUUAAUUGGAAUCUUGUAUGAAUGGUUGGACAAAAGAAAUACUGUCUCUAUUAUUUUAAUUGAAUUUAACUUUUAAGUGAAAAGGCUUGAAUAAGUUAAAAAGACGAUAAGACCCUAUAAAGCUUUAUAAGAAAUUUAUAUUUAUUUAAUGUAAGUGAUAAAGAUUUAAUAUAAAUUCUUAUUUUAUUGGGGAGAUAAAAUUAUAAUUUAGUGUAACUGAGUUAAAGUUAGACAAAAAUAGAUGUGUAAAAAAAAAAUAAAAGAUCCCACCUAUGGAUUUAAAGUUCAAGUUACUUUAGGGAUAACAGCGUUAUUUUUCUUGAGAGUUCAUAUCGAAAGAAAAGAUUGCGACCUCGAUGUUGAAUUAAAAUUUCUAGAUUAUUGUAAAAGUAAUCUUAAAAGGUCUGUUCGACCUUUAAAUUUUUA